AAUAUGGUAUAGGUAAAUUAAUUAAUAAAAAUUAAUUAUGGUAAGAAUUGUGUAUACCAGUUAAAGACAUUAUACCAAAUAGAAAUAUUUAUUUAGUAAAUAUUAUAUUUGUAAUUUAUUAGGUGCCAGCAAUUGCGGUCAUACCUAAGCAGAUUUAAUUUAUUUUGUGUUAAAAGUUAUUUAAUUUAUUAUUUAAAAUAGUAAAGUAAUAUUUAUUGGUAAAAUAUAAAUUUAUGAAAAGUAAGAUUAAAUAUUAAGUAGACUAUAAAUAAGGAAUCUAAACAUUUAAACUAGGAUUAGAUACCCUACUAUACUAGAAGUAUUUCAUAUAACAUGGGGAAUAGUAUAUUUAAUAUAUAAACCUAAAAAUUAUGGCGGCUAUUAAAAAUUUUAGGGGAACUUAUUUACAUAAUAUGAUAACCACCAAGAGUAAUAUACAUAAGUUAGAUAAAGGUUUGUAUACCGUCGUCAUAAAAAUUUUUUUUAAAAAAAUUUUCGAAGUAACCUAGCAAUAUAGGACAGAUCAAGGUGCAGCUUAUACUUAUGAGAUAGACGAGUUACAAUAUGUAUGUACUUUCGGAUAUAUUAUUUAAAAUUAAUAAGAAGAUGGACUUAAAAGUAAGUUAAAAUUGAGAUAUUAUUUGUUGAAUAAAAAUUUCAUAGUGCACAAAUCGCCCGUCACUCUCGUUGGAAAGUGAGAUAAGUCGUAACAUAGUAGAUAUAGCGGAAGCUGUCUCUUGUAUAAAACUAUACAUGAAAGUCUAUAUAG
Molecule: ribosomal RNA, 769 nt
Filed under: Virpazaria ripkeni
Lineage: Eukaryota; Metazoa; Mollusca; Gastropoda; Stylommatophora; Spelaeodiscidae
Description: 12S ribosomal RNA
Source: RNAcentral